CCCCGGCCCCCGCCGGCCCCGGCCGCCGCCUCCAGGCAGCCCUCCGCAGCUCGCCGGCGUCCCGCGCGGCGCGAUGCUGUGCUUCCUGAAGGGAAUGGCCUUCGUCCCCUUCCUCCUGGUGACCUGGUCGUCGGCCGCCUUCAUUAUCUCCUACGUGGUGGCCGUGCUGUCCGGGCACGUCAACCCCUUCCUCCCUUACAUCAGUGAUACAGGAACAACACCGCCAGAGAGUGGAAUUUUUGGAUUUAUGAUAAACUUCUCUGCCUUUCUUGGUGCAGCCACCAUGUACACAAGAUAUAAAAUAGUAGAGAAGCAAAAUCAAACCAGCUAUUUCAGCACUCCUGUUUUUAACUUGGUGUCCUUAGUUCUUGGAUUGGUGGGAUGUAUCGGAAUGGGCAUUGUAGCCAAUUUUCAGGAGCUAGCUGUGCCGGUGGUCCACGAUGGGGGCGCUCUACUGGCUUUUGUGUGCGGUGUGGUAUACACCCUCCUGCAGUCCAUCAUCUCCUACAAAGCGUGUCCGCAGUGGAACAGCCUCCUGACGUGCCACAUACGCAUGGCCAUCUCUGCUGUGUCCUGCGCAGCUGUUGUCCCCAUGAUUGCCUGUGCUUCACUAAUUUCUAUAACCAAGUUGGAGUGGAAUCCAAAAGAAAAGGAUUAUGUAUAUCACGUGGUGAGUGCAAUCUGUGAAUGGACUGUGGCCUUUGGUUUUAUUUUCUACUUCCUAACGUUCAUCCAAGAUUUCCAGAGUGUCACUCUCAGGAUAUCCACAGAAAUCAAUGGUGAUAUUUGAAGAAAGGAGAAUGUAUCUAGAAGUUUCUAGAAGUGAUCCAGAGGACCACAGGGUUUUGAUGUCGCCCUGAUCGGCAUGCGUCUGUGGCACAUCCGGAACUUGAAUGUCAUUAAGAAUUCCUAAUAGUUGUACUAUUUACAAAGUUCAAUUGUUUGGGCUUCAUGAUUCUAUGACAAGUCUCUUCUGGACAGUUACCACAGAAAUUGUUAACAUGGGCUAAACCAAAUGGUUACACCAGUCUUGGGCAAACUGAGAAGGCCAAAACCUCACUCCAGACAAACAUAUCCUGCUGAUUUCGUGCACCUUCUAAAGUUGGUCUUAUCCACAUUUUUGGUAUUAUUUUUCAUUUCUGUGAACUUGCAUUUCCUUGGACCCCGUGGCUGA
This is an RNA transcript of Perognathus longimembris pacificus (Pacific pocket mouse), 1174 nucleotides long. It is a transcript of the gene named DNA damage regulated autophagy modulator 1, with no coding region annotated. The record is from RefSeq and is a predicted model, not a curated record. Lineage: Eukaryota; Metazoa; Chordata; Mammalia; Rodentia; Heteromyidae. The transcript has 8 exons.